GUCACGCUAAAGCAGCACAAUAAUAUUGGUGUUUAAUAUUUAUUUUACUACGCCAAUAUUUACGUGCUGCUACAGCGGAAC
RNAcentral lists this microRNA precursor (81 nucleotides) under Bos taurus (domestic cattle). Its description in RNAcentral is "mir-16 microRNA precursor family". It matches the Rfam family "mir-16 microRNA precursor family". From Rfam's summary of the family: The hairpin precursors (represented here) are predicted based on base pairing and cross-species conservation -- their extents are not known. Lineage: Eukaryota; Metazoa; Chordata; Mammalia; Artiodactyla; Bovidae. The record is from Rfam by way of RNAcentral. RNAcentral also lists the same sequence under 5 other names.